GAUGAACGCUAGCGGCAGGCUUAAUACAUGCAAGUCGAACGGUAGUAGGACUUCGGUUCUAUGAGAGUGGCGCACGGGUGCGUAACGCGUAUGCAACCUACCUUCAGUUGGGGGAUAGCCCGGGGAAACCCGGAUUAAUACCGCAUAAUACAGGGGUCCCGCAUGGGGAUAUUUGUUAAAGAUUUAUCGACUGAAGAUGGGCAUGCGUCUGAUUAGCUUGUUGGUGAGGUAACGGCUCACCAAGGCGACGAUCAGUAGGGGAUCUGAGAGGAUGACCCCCCACACUGGUACUGAGAUACGGACCAGACUCCUACGGGAGGCAGCAGUAAGGAAUAUUGGACAAUGGGCGGAAGCCUGAUCCAGCCAUGCCGCGUGCAGGAGGACGGCCCUAUGGGUUGUAAACUGCUUUUGUAAGGGAAUAAUAAGGCGGACGUGCUUCGCUGACGAAGGUACCUUACGAAUAAGCAUCGGCUAACUCCGUGCCAGCAGCCGCGGUAAUACGGAGGAUGCGAGCGUUAUCCGGAUUUAUUGGGUUUAAAGGGUGCGUAGGCGGCCUGCUAAGUCAGGGGGUGAAAGGUUGCGGCUUAACCGCAGACAUGCCUUUGAUACUGACAGGCUUGAAUGAAGUUGAGGUAGGCGGAAUGUGGCAAGUAGCGGUGAAAUGCAUAGAGAUGCCACAGAACACCGAUUGCGAAGGCAGCUUACUAAGCUUCGAUUGACGCUGAGGCGCGAAAGCGUGGGGAUCAAACAGGAUUAGAUACCCUGGUAGUCCACGCAGUAAACGAUGAGAACUAGCUGUUGGCGAUAGACAGUCAGCGGCACAGCGAAAGCGUUAAGUUCUCCACCUGGGGAGUACGACCGCAAGGUUGAAACUCAAAGGAAUUGACGGGGGCCCGCACAAGCGGAGGAGCAUGUGGUUUAAUUCGAUGAUACGCGAGGAACCUUACCUGGGCUUGAAAGUGAGUGCCGAGCGCUGAAAGGCGCUUUCCCUUCGGGGCACAAAACUAGGUGCUGCAUGGCUGUCGUCAGCUCGUGCCGUGAGGUGUUGGGUUAAGUCCCGCAACGAGCGCAACCCCUAUCAUCAGUUGCCAGCAGGUAAAGCUGGGGACUCUGGUGAGACUGCCUGCGCAAGCAGCGAGGAAGGAGGGGACGACGUCAAGUCAUCAUGGCCCUUACGUCCAGGGCUACACACGUGCUACAAUGGCAGCUACAGAGGGCAGCGACCUUGUAAGAGGGAGCCAAUCUCAAAAAGGUUGUCACAGUUCGGAUUGAGGUCUGCAACUCGACCUCAUGAAGUUGGAUUCGCUAGUAAUCGCGUACCAGCAAUGACGCGGUGAAUACGUUCCCGGGCCUUGUACACACC
Molecule: ribosomal RNA, 1363 nt
Filed under: uncultured bacterium
Lineage: Bacteria
Description: bacterial SSU rRNA
Rfam family: Bacterial small subunit ribosomal RNA
Source: RNAcentral